Molecule: transfer RNA, 74 nt
Filed under: bacterium
Lineage: Bacteria
Also listed under: 1 other name
Description: tRNA-Cys
Rfam family: tRNA
About the family: Transfer RNA (tRNA) molecules are approximately 80 nucleotides in length.
Source: RNAcentral
GGCGGCAUAGCCAAGUGGUAAGGCAAGGCUCUGCAAAAGCUUCACCCCCGGUUCAAAUCCGGGUGCCGCCUCCA